Molecule: RNA transcript, 4825 nt
Organism: Xenopus tropicalis (tropical clawed frog)
Lineage: Eukaryota; Metazoa; Chordata; Amphibia; Anura; Pipidae
Gene: itih5
Gene name: inter-alpha-trypsin inhibitor heavy chain family member 5
Exons: 15
Source: RefSeq, a predicted model, not a curated record
UGCAUGUGUACUGUGCAAGCUUAGCUUUAUUGCUGGGAAUAACAUUUCUUCUUCAUCUUCAGUUUAGGAACUCUUUAUUCCAAAGGCUUCAUUCCAUAAUGUUUCUCCUUGGACUUUGCCUUUGCUUUAUACCACUUUCCUUGGGAAACAGUCCUUAUUUUGCUGAGAAUAACUUAGCGGAGAUAACAAUGACAAAUGAAGACAAAACUCAAUCUCGAGUUCCAAGGCAGGCUUCCUUCUUGAAGAGAAGAGUAAGAGAAACAAAACCACAAGUCGCUGAAUUCAGUGUGCAGUCCACUAUUAUGUCACGAUAUGCUUUCACAGCGGUCUCUUGCACUAUGGUGAAUCGAGCAGCUGAGGCCAAAGAAGGUGUUUUCCAGAUGCUGAUUCCAGCAGCAGCUUUUGUCUCAAAUUUUACCAUGAUUGUUGGAGGGCGAACGUACCAUAGUGAAGUCACUUGGAGGAAACAAAUGGCUAAAGAGGGCAAUGAACUUGGGAGUGAUAAGAUCCUUGGCAAUGGAGACAAUGGAGAUAAUGGCAUGGAAUUAUUUAAAGCCUCUGCAAGCAUUCCUGGACGGAACAAGGCGGUAUUUCUUUUGAUGUAUGAGGAGCUCCUACAGAGGCGUCUUGGAAUGUAUGAGCAUACCAUCAGCAUCAAGCCACAGCAGCUAGUGGGACGCCUUUCCGUAGAGGUGAACAUAUUUGAAAACUCUGGAAUUACUGCUUUAGAGGUUCCUCCUCUCCGCAACAAGCAGAGAAGUAAAAACACUGAUACAAUCUCUCCUCCACCCUCCACAGCCAUCAACCAGACAAACAACUUUGCAAGGAUCACUUUUAAUCCCAGUGUUGUUCAUCAAGCAAAACUUUCUCAGAAUGGAAUUUUGGGUGAUUUUGUUAUUAGAUAUGAUGUACAAAGAGAACUCAGUGUGGGAGACCUGCAGGUUUUGAAUGGAUACUUUGUGCAUUAUUUUGCACCUACAAAUCUACCUCCUCUGCCAAAGAAUGUGGUGUUUGUGAUUGAUACAAGUGCAUCUAUGUUGGGAAACAAAAUGAAACAGACCAAGGAAGCCCUAUUUACCAUUCUUAAAGACCUUAGACCUCAAGAUCAUUUUAACAUUAUUGGCUUUUCUAAACGAGUCAAAGUAUGGCAGCAAAAUCAGAUGGUAAAAGUCUCUCCCAACAAUAUCAGAGAUGCAAAGAAGUUUAUUUACAGCCUUUAUCCCACAGGAGAAACAAAUAUCAAUGAAGGUAUCCACGUUGGUGCCCAGCUUCUUAACAAUUAUCUUGCAAGUAAUGGAAAACAUGAGAAGAGUGUGUCUCUAAUGAUAUUUCUGACGGAUGGAAGAGCAACCAUCGGUGAAAUAGAGUCUCCAAAAAUCUUGGGCAACACCAAGAAUGCCAUCCAGGAAAAGUUUUGCCUGUUCAGCAUUGGUUUUGGUAAUGAUGUUGAUUUCAAUUUGCUGGAGAAACUGUCCCUGGAGAAUUGUGGUAUGAUGCGACGGAUACAGGAGAAUGAGGAUGCCGCUUCUCAACUUAAAGGAUUUUAUGAUGAGAUUGGAACUCCAUUAUUGUCAGACAUUCGUAUUGAUUACCCGCCAGAUAGUGUACAAUACGUCACUCAGAAUAUGUUCUACAACUAUUUCAAUGGGUCAGAAAUAGUAGUUGCUGGAAAACUAGUAAACCGAUCCUCAGAGACUCUCCAUGUUGAAAUCACUGCAAGUAAUGGAAAUAAAUAUGUUGUCCUAGAAGCUGACAUAAAAUUAGAAGGUGUUGGACAAGCUGAAAUGAUUGGAUCAGAGGUCAUUGAGGACAAUAAGGAAUACAAAAACCACAUUGAAAGGUUGUGGGGCUAUCUGACAUUUAAGGAGCUUUUAACAUCUUGGCAUAAAAGUGAUACCAUCAAGGACAAAGAAGAAAUAAUGGACAAAGCCAGUAAGCUUGCUCUGCAUUACCAUUUUGUGACCCCUUUUACACUACUGGAAAUGAAGGAUUCUGGGUUUCAAGCAGAUCUUCCAAAAGAAGAGUUAACCAGUCUAUCCAUGGAUGGCAUUGGUCAUAAACUGCUUAAUCUUCAGGGAAAGAAAGCUCCACAAGGCAUUACAGGGUCUUCCCCUAGGAAGACAAGCAAGCAAAAUACAUCUGUAUCCAAAACAUCAGCGGAUGGGGAUCCCCAUUUUGUUGUUGAUUUUCCAUUGAACAAGAUGACCGUUUGCUUCAAUAUUGAUGGCGAACCCGGUGACAUCCUUAGGUUGGUGUCAGACCAUAAAAACUCAGGAGUAACAGUAAAUGGGCAGUUGAUAGGAGCACCAGCCCCUCCCAACGGGCAUAAGAAGCACAGAACCUACUUCAGCAGGAUUACCAUCAUUCUCAACAAGCCAAAACGAUCUUAUAUAGAGAUUACCCCAUCCAAGGUCAUUCUGGACAGCAAGGACAGACUUAUUCUAUCAACCGAUAAGAGCACUACAGUAAAGGGCGAAGAUCUGGUGAUUGCAGUUCUCGCCAACUCCAACAUUACUGUAACAGUUCAAGGCACCAUCAGCUUUGUAAUCCUGGUUCAUCACUAUAAAAACCCAGCUCCAUACCAAAGGAAUCACUUGGGAUUUUACAUUUCUAACAGCAAAGGACUGUCGUCCAAUUCCCACGGGCUUCUAGGUCAGUUCCUGUAUAAUGAAGUUAAAAUAACUAAAGUACCUCUACAAGCUACCAACCAGACUUCUGAUGCUGCGACCCUGCUGAGUGUGAGAAAUCGCUUAGUUCCUGUAAUUAGAAAACAAAGAAAGAUAUACAAUGGCCUUCAUCAGGUGGACUGUUGGUUUGCAAAGAAUAAUGCAGCCAAAUUAAUUGAUGGAACAUACCAGGACUACUUGGUGUCCCAUCUCUUUGACUGUGGGAGUGAUUUAAUAACAAAUGAAGUGUAAAAACAAAAUUUACACAGGACAUUUCGUAUACAUUCCCAUUUACAUAUACUGAGCAAAAAGAGAACACUAGACCCGGACAUUUUCAGUAAACACAACUUGUAUUAUAUUACAGUGCAAUAUUCUGAUGGGAUUAUUUAACAAAAAAAUGGCUUGUUUAAUAGCCAGUCGUUAUCUUGUACAGAAUGCAGAGUGUUCCCUUACUGUAUUAAUGCAAUGUACAACUGACUUUUGUAUUUGAAGAUAUUUUUAUAAUCAUUCCACCGUGCGUUUUUUAUGUAUCUUUUAACAACAAAACAUUAAAAUGUAUAUACAGGUAUGUGUCUGAGGUUAAAUAGAACCAUGUGUUUAGCAUUUUCAUAAACAUAUUAUUGGUAUCAUUAUCCUUUACUGAUGAGAAUUUCACAGCAAAUCCAUGCCUAGGGAAAAAAUGUGCUCAUCACUAUUAUCCUUUAAAUAGCACUGAAACUUAUAUAUACGUGGCCACUGUACCCAGGUGACAUACAUGAGCAGUCACUUAAUACUCUCUAGCUUGUAUAUCAAAGAUUUUAUACAAUUAAAGAUGUAUUAAGGUCCUGUUCUGCAAAACAUUUAGUUUAACGCAAUGGGGCUGUCUAUUUCACAAAAAGGGUCUUUGCACGUAUGGAGCAGUGACAUAUAAAUAAUAAAUCAAGUAGUAGCUAUGGCACCAGCAAUUAACUGCAGCUAAUAAAGCAUACACACCUAUUUUAUUAUUAACAAGUAUUUAUAAAGCUCUAAUGUAUUCUGCAGUUGUGUGCAAUAGGAGUGUGUAUACUUAUCUCUAGGUUUUAUUUUAUGGAAAUAUUAAAGGUUUGCUGCCAUCAGAUAAAGAUUCCCAUUCGAUAUAAUACAAUCUAAUAUUUACACAAGCUUUAUUAGUUUUCUGUUAUUUUUUUUUAUUCAGAGUAACUUUUAUCAAUUUAUAUAGUCCAUAAGCUCAGGGGCCCUGACACACGUGGGCAACUUCUUUGUGAGGUAACUCUGGGCAACAUAAGAGAAAGCAUAAAUGACACAGGUUUUCCCAUCAGCAAUUUACAUUAUCACGGGUGGAAAGGCAUUUGAUGGAGAUUAGUUGCCUGCAAUAGAGGAGAUUUGGUGGAGGUGACAAAUUUCUUAAUCUGUCAUUGCCUUUACUGUUAAGUAAGCCACAGCAACUGUAGUAAAUUUGAAAGAGCCAUUGCCAUGUUUUGCAAUUCAUGUUUCAAAACAAUAGGCAAAAAGUAUGUUCAGCAUAAGCCCUGUUUAUUGAACAAGAAAGAAAACUGCCCAUUUAAGAGUGAAAAUUCAUAAGCAUUAGUGUCUCUAGACAAAGAUUUCUCCUUCAAAAUAUUUUCCUUUUUUUCUUUUAAAGGAUUUCUGUCAUUUUGAUGGCCCUUUUAAAAGAAUCCGGCAAGACUUACAUUAUCAAUGGCAUGGACCAAUAAAACUUGCCAAACAAGACAAACAUAAAGGAGGAUUAUAAUGCUUAGAGAACCAUCAGCUCUAAUGUUGUAUAUUAGUUUGGCGUUAAAGUGAGACCCCCAUUAACCCCCAUAUCAUUAGUAACAUAGUAGAUGAGGUGAAGCUAAUUAAUUCAGAGGAAGGCAAAAAAACCAUCAUGCAUUGGGGUAUUUUUGAGACCUUAUUUCAAGUUGCCAUUUAGUGUGAAGAAGAAUUAGGUAACAAAAUAUAGAAUAGGAUCACUAUAAUAUCAUGAAAUAGGGUGUAGUUGACAUUUCUGAUUACAUAUUUUAAAGUUGUCACAAAUUCUGGGGGGAGGCUUCCACCAGUGCUGUCUGCCUGGAAUUAACCAAAAACCUGUUUCUGUUUCAGAUGAUACAAAUACUCUGCUAUCUAUCACGUGGCUGUAUCAGGCAGCUAUUUUAUAAAUAAACUUAUUUUUUACUCUG